UACGUAGAGUGCAAGCGUUGUCCGGAAUUAUUGGGCGUAAAGAGCUCGUAGGCGGUUUGUUGCGUCGGCUGUGAAAUCCCGAGGCUCAACCUCGGGUCUGCAGUCGAUACGAGCAAACUAGAGUGUUGCAGGGGAGACUGGAAUUCCUGGUGUAGCGGUGAAAUGCGCAGAUAUCAGGAGGAACACCGGUGGCGAAGGCGGGUCUCUGGGCAACAACUGACGCUGAGGAGCGAAAGCGUGGGGAGCGAACAGG
This 253-nucleotide ribosomal RNA is filed under the name uncultured bacterium. Its description in RNAcentral is "partial 16S ribosomal RNA". It matches the Rfam family "Bacterial small subunit ribosomal RNA", at positions 524 to 776 of the family's 1533-position model. The record is from RNAcentral.